RNAcentral lists this ribosomal RNA (246 nucleotides) under uncultured bacterium. RNAcentral's name for it is "partial 16S ribosomal RNA". It matches the Rfam family "Bacterial small subunit ribosomal RNA", at positions 333 to 593 of the family's 1533-position model. The record is from RNAcentral.
UUCCCCCUACGGGACGCAGCAGUGGGGAAUAUUGGGCAAUGGGCGCAAGCCUGACCCAGCAACGCCGCGUGAAGGAAGAAGGCUUUCGGGUUGUAAACUUCUUUUAUGAGGGACGAAAGAAAUGACGGUACCUCAUGAAUAAGCCACGGCUAACUACGUGCCAGCAGCCGCGGUAAUACGUAGGUGGCAAGCGUUAUCCGGAUUUACUGGGUGUAAAGGGCGGGUAGGCGGGACCGCAAGUCCGAU